AGAAAAUAUCCACAACAUAAUUUCUACAAGAUUAGAGGAAGGAGAGAGACAAUGGGGAUUCCAAUUUUACUAGGAAUAUCCACCUCUGAGAGGAAAAUAUCCAUCUCUGUGGAUGUCAUCUGGUCUGCAGAAAACCCUUUCCUGGAACUCCCAGGAUCGGCUAUACUGAAGCUACUGCAUAGCUGUGAAGUGUGGGAGCUGCUGGUGAAAACAGUAAAUCUUUCCAGUUGCACGUGUGUGUCACUUAACCAAAGAAUCAUCGGAAAGUAAAGUUGUCACCACAAAAUAGCAACUGUAGUAGGAGAAUGUCUCUGUCAUUUUCUGUGUAAUGAAAAAUCUGGUAACAUCUGUG
Molecule: long non-coding RNA, 352 nt
Filed under: Pongo abelii (Sumatran orangutan)
Lineage: Eukaryota; Metazoa; Chordata; Mammalia; Primates; Hominidae
Description: lincRNA
Source: RNAcentral